Molecule: non-coding RNA, 525 nt
Organism: Microcebus murinus (gray mouse lemur)
Lineage: Eukaryota; Metazoa; Chordata; Mammalia; Primates; Cheirogaleidae
Source: RefSeq, a predicted model, not a curated record
AGAAAGAGGAUGAUCUAAUAGAACAUGUUUUGGUCUGGGCUUACUCAAACAUACAUGGUUCUUCUGUUUUUCCCCUUCCUUCUCCCCAAAAUCUGGAUUAAAAUCCUCAAAUAAUACAUGAAAUGUAUAGAGAAAGAACGUCAGCCUAAAACCGUCCGUUGCCAGACUCUACCACUCAGGCCUCAAACGUGAGCGCAGCAGACAUUCCAGAACUGAACUUGGUGCGCUCGCGUACCAACUGCCGCCGUACUUCGGGCUAUUCCACCCUUGCUGCGCUCUAAGCUCAGAACCGACUGGUACAUUAUGGCGGUUGCUGCUUGCGAUCGUUUUACUCUCUUGGGGAUACGUCAUCUAUGCAUCAACAGUUGCUGCAAGACGACUGCUAAGGAAGGAAUACCCAGACAAAAUCUUUGGAAUGAAUGAAAAUUUGUAACAACUAUGGAUUUAAUUCUAAAAUACAGUUCAUUUUCUCAUGCUUAUCUAACACAUAUGUAGAUUUAUAAAUAAAAUUCAUAAUACAAAUUU